UCGUUGUUGCUAAGAGCUACAUUAGUUUACAUUUUUGCAGAUCAUUGCUGUGGUAUUUUGAAAGAAAAAAUGAAGACAAUGUUUCAAUGCAUAUUGUUCUUGACUCUUGCAAUUUUCUGUUUUGUGAUAGCCACUGACUCUUUAUCUUUUAAUCCACCCCCAUCUCUGAAAAACCCAAUAGAUGAAGCCAAUCCUAUUAUAUUCCCUACGGGUUCUCCAACUCACUAAUGAAGAUGAAAAAAGGCACAUCCCUGUUAAUACUGCAGUAACAAGUUUCCACUUUAUAUUUAUUAAGUAAUGAUACAGUAAUAUAAUAUAUUUUUAGACAGAAUAAAAUUCUAAAACUGUU
Long non-coding RNA from Parasteatoda tepidariorum (common house spider), 349 nucleotides. RefSeq lists it as uncharacterized. Lineage: Eukaryota; Metazoa; Arthropoda; Arachnida; Araneae; Theridiidae. The record is from RefSeq and is a predicted model, not a curated record.